GGGGGGGGCAAGCGUUGUUCGGAAUUACUGGGCGUAAAGGGCUCGUAGGUUGCCAACUAAGUCAGACGUGAAAUCCCUCGGCUUAACCGGGGAACUGCGUCUGAUACUGGAUGGCUUGAGUUUGGGAGAGGGACGCGGAAUUCCAGGUGUAGCGGUGAAAUGCGUAGAUAUCUGGAGGAACACCGGUGGCGAAGGCGGCGUCCUGGACCAACACUGACACUGAGGAGCGAAAGCCAGGGGAGCAAACGGGAUUAGAUACCCCGGUAGUCCUGGCCCUAAACGAUGAAUGCUUGGUGUGGCGGGUAUCGAUCCCUGCCGUGCCGAAGCUAACGCAUUAAGCAUUCCGCCUGGGGAGUACGGUCGCAAGGCUG
This 371-nucleotide ribosomal RNA is filed under the name uncultured Acidobacteriaceae bacterium. RNAcentral's name for it is "bacterial SSU rRNA". It matches the Rfam family "Bacterial small subunit ribosomal RNA", at positions 527 to 896 of the family's 1533-position model. The record is from RNAcentral. Lineage: Bacteria; Pseudomonadati; Acidobacteriota; Terriglobia; Terriglobales; Acidobacteriaceae.